GAGUUUGAUCCUGGCUCACAACGAACGCUGGCGGCAGGCCUAACACAUGCAAGUCGAACGAACCUUUUAGGUGAGUGGCGCACGGGUGCGUAACGCGUGGGAAUAUGCCCUUAGGUGCGGAAUAACGGCUGGAAACGGUCGCUAAUACCGCAUAAUGACUCCGGUCCAAAGAUUUAUCGCCUAAGGAUUAGCCCGCGUCAGAUUAGAUAGUUGGUGAGGUAAAAGCUCACCAAGUCGACGAUCUGUAGGGGGUCUGAGAGGAUGAUCCCCCACACUGGUACUGAGACACGGACCAGACUCCUACGGGAGGCAGCAGUGAGGAAUAUUGGACAAUGGGGGCAACCCUGAUCCAGCCAUGCCGCGUGUAUGGCGAAGGCCUUAGGGUUGUAAAGUACUUUCAAACGUGAAGAUAAUGACGGUAGCGUUAGAAGAAGCUCCGGCUAAAUUCGUGCCAGCAGCCGCGGUAAUACGAAUGGAGCAAGCGUUGUUCGGAAUCACUGGGCUUAAAGCGUAUGUAGGCGGAUCAUAAAGUCAGGCGUGAAAUCCCGAGGCUCAACCUCGGAACUGCGCUUGAAACUCAUGAUCUAGAAUCCUGGAGAGGUUGGGAG
RNAcentral lists this ribosomal RNA (608 nucleotides) under uncultured Sphingomonadales bacterium. RNAcentral's name for it is "bacterial SSU rRNA". It matches the Rfam family "Bacterial small subunit ribosomal RNA", at positions 9 to 664 of the family's 1533-position model. The record is from RNAcentral. Lineage: Bacteria; Pseudomonadati; Pseudomonadota; Alphaproteobacteria; Sphingomonadales.